RNAcentral lists this ribosomal RNA (253 nucleotides) under uncultured bacterium. Its description in RNAcentral is "partial 16S ribosomal RNA". It matches the Rfam family "Bacterial small subunit ribosomal RNA", at positions 524 to 776 of the family's 1533-position model. The record is from RNAcentral.
UACGUAGGCAGCGAGCGUUGUUCGGAAUUACUGGGCGUAAAGCGUGCGUAGGCGGUCGGCUAAGUUUGGUGUGAAAUCUCCCGGCUCAACCGGGAGGGUGCGCCGAAAACUGGCCGGCUAGAGUGCGGGAGAGGGAAGUGGAAUUCCUGGUGAAGCGGUGAAAUGCGUAGAUAUCAGGAGGAACACCGGUGGCGAAGACGGCUUCCUGGACCGUAACUGACGCUUAGGCGCGAAAGCGUGGGGAGCAAACAGG